AUACGUAGGGUGCGAGCGUUAAUCGGAAUUACUGGGCGUAAAGCGUGCGCAGGCGGUUGUGCAAGACAGAUGUGAAAUCCCCGGGCUCAACCUGGGAACUGCAUUUGUGACUGCACGACUAGAGUACGGCAGAGGGGGGUAGAAUUCCACGUGUAGCAGUGAAAUGCGUAGAGAUGUGGAGGAAUACCGAUGGCGAAGGCAGCCCCCUGGGCCGAUACUGACGCUCAUGCACGAAAGCGUGGGGAGC
RNAcentral lists this ribosomal RNA (247 nucleotides) under uncultured bacterium. Its description in RNAcentral is "partial 16S ribosomal RNA". It matches the Rfam family "Bacterial small subunit ribosomal RNA", at positions 523 to 769 of the family's 1533-position model. The record is from RNAcentral.